RNAcentral lists this ribosomal RNA (253 nucleotides) under uncultured bacterium. Its description in RNAcentral is "partial 16S ribosomal RNA". It matches the Rfam family "Bacterial small subunit ribosomal RNA", at positions 524 to 776 of the family's 1533-position model. The record is from RNAcentral.
UACGUAGGGGGCUAGCGUUGUCCGGAAUCAUUGGGCGUAAAGAGCGUGUAGGCGGCCCGGUAAGUCCGCUGUAAAAGUCAAAGGCUCAACCUUUGAAUGUCAGUGGAUACUGCCGGGCUAGAGUCCGGAAGAGGCGAGUGGAACUCCUGGUGUAGCGGUGGAAUGCGCAGAUAUCAGGAAGAACACCAACGGCGAAGGCAGCUCGCUGGGACGGUACUGACGCUGAGACGUGAAAGCGUGGGGAGCGAACAGG